AGCCAGACUCCUACGGGAGGCAGCAGUGGGGAAUAUUGGGCAAUGGGCGGAAGCCUGACCCAGCAACGCCGCGUGAAGGAAGAAGGCUUUCGGGUUGUAAACUUCUUUUCUCAGGGACGAAGCAAGUGACGGUACCUGAGGAAUAAGCCACGGCUAACUACGUGCCAGCAGCCGCGGUAAUACGUAGGUGGCAAGCGUUAUCCGGAUUUACUGGGUGUAAAGGGCGUGUAGCCGGGCUGACAAGUCAGAUGUGAAAUCCGGGGGCUCAACCGCGGAACUGCAUUUGAAACUGUCAGUCUUGAGUACCGGAGAGGUCAUCGGAAUUCCUUGUGUAGCGGUGAAAUGCGUAGAUAUAAGGAAGAACACCAGUGGCGAAGGCGGAUGACUGGACGGCAACUGACGGUGAGGCGCGAAAGCGUGGGGAGCAAACAGGAUUAGAUACCCGGGUAGC
This 451-nucleotide ribosomal RNA is filed under the name uncultured bacterium. RNAcentral describes it as "bacterial SSU rRNA". It matches the Rfam family "Bacterial small subunit ribosomal RNA", at positions 329 to 794 of the family's 1533-position model. The record is from RNAcentral.